This 428-nucleotide long non-coding RNA is filed under the name Saimiri boliviensis boliviensis (Bolivian squirrel monkey). Its description in RNAcentral is "lncRNA (ENSSBOG00000036544.1)". Lineage: Eukaryota; Metazoa; Chordata; Mammalia; Primates; Cebidae. The record is from RNAcentral.
UAAGUUUGCCAGGUGGACGUUCAGUGUCCACCAUUGACAGCACAGAAUCAUUUUUUACAGAGUGAAGUCAAAUUUACUACGUAGGACCAGAAUAUUCCUUGAGACGCCACGGUAUAGGAUCCGAAGUAGAUGCCUCAAUUUCCUAUGACUCAGAUCUCUUCGCAGGCUUCCCAGCAGCUUUGGGGUGGGUCCAGGGGACCACCCUGUGCUCCAGGUGGUAACUGUGCUCUCAGCAAAGAGACGGGAAAAGUGCUGGGCAGAGUCAGGAGGCUGAGCUGGGAACUCUUCAGAGAGGUCUGAAAUGAUUCCACACCCAGAUGGAAGACCGCGUGUCCCAGCACUGAUUUGCAGUCUGGAGUCCACGGCUCUCAGCAUAUGACUGGGGUGAGCAGGGAAUUAGGACCACCUUGACCUCUAGCCGUCUGGUC